This 539-nucleotide ribosomal RNA is filed under the name uncultured Bacteroidota bacterium. RNAcentral describes it as "bacterial SSU rRNA". It matches the Rfam family "Bacterial small subunit ribosomal RNA", at positions 377 to 916 of the family's 1533-position model. The record is from RNAcentral. Lineage: Bacteria; Pseudomonadati; Bacteroidota.
GAGAGCCUGAACCAGCCAAGUAGCGUGCAGGAAGACGGCCCUAUGGGUUGUAAACUGCUUUUAUAAGGGAAUAAAGUGAGUCUCGUGAGACUUUUUGCAUGUACCUUAUGAAUAAGGACCGGCUAAUUCCGUGCCAGCAGCCGCGGUAAUACGGAAGGUCCGGGCGUUAUCCGGAUUUAUUGGGUUUAAAGGGAGCGUAGGCCGGAGAUUAAGCGUGUUGUGAAAUGUAGAUGCUCAACAUCUGCACUGCAGCGCGAACUGGUUUCCUUGAGUACGCACAAAGUGGGCGGAAUUCGUGGUGUAGCGGUGAAAUGCUUAGAUAUCACGAAGAACUCCGAUUGCGAAGGCAGCUCACUGGAGCGCAACUGACGCUGAAGCUCGAAAGUGCGGGUAUCGAACAGGAUUAGAUACCCUGGUAGUCCGCACGGUAAACGAUGGAUGCCCGCUGUUGGUCUGAAUAGGUCAGCGGCCAAGCGAAAGCAUUAAGCAUCCCACCUGGGGAGUACGCCGGCAACGGUGCAACUCAAAUGAAUUGACGG